UGCUUUUCCGCCGGCGACCGGCGCACGGGUGCGGAACGCGUAUGGAACCUGCCCCUGUCAGGGGAAUAGCCCAGGGAAACUUGGAUUAAUGCCCCAUGGUACCACGACAUCGCAUGAUGAUGUGGUUAAAGAUUUAUCGGACAGGGAUGGCCAUGCGUACCAUUAGUUAGUUGGUGGGGUAACGGCCCACCAAGGCAGCGAUGGUUAGGGGCCCUGAGAGGGGGAUCCCCCACACUGGUACUGAGACACGGACCAGACUCCUACGGGAGGCAGCAGUGAGGAAUAUUGGACAAUGGGCGGGAGCCUGAUCCAGCCAUGCCGCGUGCAGGAUGACGGCCCUAUGGGUUGUAAACUGCUUUUAUACGGGAAGAAAUGCGCCCACGUGUGGGCGUCUGACGGUACCGUAAGAAUAAGGACCGGCUAACUCCGUGCCAGCAGCCGCGGUAAUACGGAGGGUCCGAGCGUUAUCCGGAAUCAUUGGGUUUAAAGGGUCCGUAGGCGGGCCUGUAAGUCAGGGGUGAAAGUUUGUGGCUCAACCAUAAAAUUGCCUUUGAUACUGCAGGUCUUGAGUCAUGGUGGGGUCGCCGGAACAUGUGGUGUAGCGGUGAAAUGCAUAGAUAUCACAUAGAACACCGAUCGCGAAGGCAGG
This 649-nucleotide ribosomal RNA is filed under the name Allomuricauda ruestringensis DSM 13258. RNAcentral's name for it is "bacterial SSU rRNA". It matches the Rfam family "Bacterial small subunit ribosomal RNA", at positions 78 to 725 of the family's 1533-position model. Lineage: Bacteria; Pseudomonadati; Bacteroidota; Flavobacteriia; Flavobacteriales; Flavobacteriaceae. The record is from RNAcentral.